GCCAGGAGCGGUGGCACGUGCCUGUAAUCCUGGUGGCUCAGGAGGCUGAGACAGGAGGAUCACAAGUGCAAAGUCAGACUCAGCAAACGUGAGGCGCUAAGUAACUCAAGUGAGACUCUGUCUCUA
Molecule: small RNA, 126 nt
Filed under: Marmota monax (woodchuck)
Lineage: Eukaryota; Metazoa; Chordata; Mammalia; Rodentia; Sciuridae
Source: RNAcentral